GCGGCAGGCCUAACACAUGCAAGUCGAGCGGUAGCACAGAGAGCUUGCUCUCGGGUGACGAGCGGCGGACGGGUGAGUAAUGUCUGGGAAACAGCCUGAUGGAGGGGGAUAACUACUGGAAACGGUAGCUAAUACCGCAUAACGUCGCAAGACCAAAGUGGGGGACCUUCGGGCCUCAUGCCAUCAGAUGUGCCCAGAUGGGAUUAGCUAGUAGGUGGGGUAACGGCUCACCUAGGCGACGAUCCCUAGCUGGUCUGAGAGGAUGACCAGCCACACUGGAACUGAGACACGGUCCAGACUCCUACGGGAGGCAGCAGUGGGGAAUAUUGCACAAUGGGCGCAAGCCUGAUGCAGCCAUGCCGCGUGUGUGAAGAAGGCCUUCGGGUUGUAAAGCACUUUCAGCGGGGAGGAAGGCGGUGAGGUUAAUAACCUCAUCGAUUGACGUUACCCGCAGAAGAAGCACCGGCUAACUCCGUGCCAGCAGCCGCGGUAAUACGGAGGGUGCAAGCGUUAAUCGGAAUUACUGGGCGUAAAGCGCACGCAGGCGGUCUGUCAAGUCG
RNAcentral lists this ribosomal RNA (560 nucleotides) under uncultured bacterium. RNAcentral's name for it is "bacterial SSU rRNA". It matches the Rfam family "Bacterial small subunit ribosomal RNA", at positions 39 to 590 of the family's 1533-position model. The record is from RNAcentral.